This 258-nucleotide long non-coding RNA is filed under the name Panax ginseng (ginseng). RNAcentral's name for it is "long non-coding RNA (PGIN_LNC018309)". Lineage: Eukaryota; Viridiplantae; Streptophyta; Magnoliopsida; Apiales; Araliaceae. The record is from RNAcentral.
UCCCUCCGUCCUUAUUUAAAUGACGUUUUAGAAUUUUUUAUUUGUCCCUAAUUAUUUGACGUUUGUUCAAAUCUAGGAGAAUUAAUGAUAAUUUUUCCAAAAUUAUCCCUCAUUAUUCUUUUUACUUUUUUGAUACUUUAAACUCUUUCUCUCUUUCUCUCUCCUUAUCCCAACAAAACUCUUCUUAUCUCAACAAAAUUCUCCUUAUCCCAACAAAAGAUUUAAGGUUAUUAUAGACAAUUGAGUACUAUAUUUAAU